This 460-nucleotide ribosomal RNA is filed under the name uncultured bacterium. RNAcentral's name for it is "partial 16S ribosomal RNA". It matches the Rfam family "Bacterial small subunit ribosomal RNA", at positions 338 to 795 of the family's 1533-position model. The record is from RNAcentral.
CCUACGGGGUGCAGCAGUGAGGAAUAUUGGUCAAUGGACGAGAGUCUGAACCAGCCAAGCAGCGUGAAGGAUGACUGCCCUAUGGGUUGUAAACUUCUUUUAUAUGGGAAUAACAUGUUCCCCGUGUGGGCUUUUGUAUGUACCAUAUGAAUAAGGAUCGGCUAACUCCGUGCCAGCAGCCGCGGUCAUACGGAGGAUCCGAGCGUUAUCCGGAUUUAUUGGGUUUAAAGGGAGCGUAGGUGGAUUGUUAAGUCAGUUGUGAAAGUUUGCGGCUCAACCGUAAAAUUGCAGUUGAAACUGGCAGUCUUGAGUGCAGUAGAGGUGGGCGGAAUUCGUGGUGUAGCGGUGAAAUGCUUAGAUAUCACGAAGAACUCCGAUUGCGAAGGCAGCUCACUGGACUGCAACUGACACUGAGGCGCGAAAGUGUGGGUAUCAAACAGGAUUAGAUACCCCAGUAGUC